Molecule: non-coding RNA, 5613 nt
Organism: Ictidomys tridecemlineatus (thirteen-lined ground squirrel)
Lineage: Eukaryota; Metazoa; Chordata; Mammalia; Rodentia; Sciuridae
Source: RefSeq, a predicted model, not a curated record
GCCAAUGGAGAAGCAUGAUGUUUAGACUUUGCUGUGUAACAUGCUUUUCUUUCCCCUGCACAGGGGAAGUUGGUGGCAAGGAAAUGAUCCUAAAAUGUGUGCAUCAUGGAGGGGAGGGGAGACAGGAAGAGUGAAAUCUUGGUGCUUAUACUGACUGUGCGGUGGCAAGCAAGGAGCCGUCAAACCAUGAAAAUACAUGGAGGAAACAAAUGCAUAUUAUAAGUGAAAAAAGCCACUCUGUGUGAUUUCCAACGAACUGGCAUCUGGAAAAGGCACAACUAUGGAGACAGAAGAUCAGUGGUUGCCAAGGGUUAAGGGCUGGGAGGAGACUAGAUGGGGCUCAGAGGAUUUUUAAAGCAGUGAAACUACUCUUCAGACACUGGACUGCUGGACGUUCACAGACACCAACUGAAGCUCGCAGGAAUUCUCCCUUCUGUGAGAACAGCACUGACUUUCAGGGAUGGGACCCCAGCAGUCUUGUUUUUGUGACAGGGCCUUGUUCCUUGAAUAACGGGCAGAUCCAGGGAAAAAGAAUCCCAAGAUGGACGAGCAAGACCCAAUUUGCUAUCCACAACUGAUCACCUGAGGGCUGCGACUUGGUCCUGCAUAUUCCUCUGGAUUAAAAACAGCUCCUAAAACGAAGACUCAGCCAACCCCAUUUUGCCAUUCUGGAGACAGAAAUAGAAAGAGAGGGAGUUCCUGGAAUUACUUGUCAUUCAUUCACCCUUUCCACCACCAUCUCCAUUGCCAAGUCCUGACGGGUAUGUAGACCCUCAGCUAAACCCAUGGGAAACUCCUCCCUGGGUUAGGUUCAGGGAAGAGUGUUUGCAAAUGCUUCCUGACUCAGGGCCCACUGGGACAGUUCCUAUAAAGGCUUUGUCUUUUCCUCCAUAAAGAAUUGAUGUGGAUUUCCUCUCCUUAUUUCCUCUUCUCUUAAGCAUGAUUCUGAACUUCCUCUUGGAAUCUGAAUCUCAACAGGAUUUUAUUUUAUGUCAAUGGGAAAGCUUAUGUAUAAUUCAACUUCAUUUCAAUUUAAGAAGUGGCAAGGAGAUCCCUCUGUGUGCCUGGAGUUGAGUGAUCUUGGGACUGAAGGACUGUGCCUCACCACAUUUCAACUACCAAGCGGCUUGCUGACAGCCCUUGCAAAAUAAAAGUUAAUCAGUCAUUCAAGUGUAAGGAAGCUUCUCUGCUUUCAGGAAAUUUAUAAUCUGGUAAAAGGGAUAAAAACAUAUAAACAUAAAAAUAAUAGAAAGUUGUGUAGUCCAACAGGAAGUGUUUUAGGCUGGAAGUCAAGAGCCCAUAUCAGAGUGGUAGUUCUGCCAUACACAGACGUUGACCCAAAAUGACCUCUCUGAACCGCAGCUUCCUCAUCUGUAACAUGAGGGAGUUGGGCUAGAUAAUAUCAGAAGGAGUCCUUCGCCUACAAACAAUGUUCAAAAUCUCUUGUUUCCAUCUUCACCAACUGCUCCCACUCAAACUACCACCAUCUAAAUCCCCUUCCACUGGGAAAUCUUCAGCCUCCCUACUUCAUGUCUCUCCAUCCUAGAAUUCAUUAUCUCACCAGGGUAAUCUUUGGAAAACACAAAUCUAUCUUGUCACAGGCCUCUCCUUCACUGCCUAAAAAUCCUCCAACAGCUCCUAACUGCUAUUAGACAUGGAAGGCAUAGCAGCUCUUCCUUGCUCCCCAUAACUGAUCCUUCCUCCCCGUUUCCUCUCUGACCUUGCUUUCUUGUGCUAUCCCCCUCACUCCACCAUGCUGUUACUGCCUUCUUUUCCAAUCCAUGUCCAAACUAAUCGUAUGCUCUUCUAUCCAGAAAAUUCCCUUUCCAGUAAGACCCAUAUCUUCUGGGCUUUUUGCCCUAGUCAUACUUUCUUCUCUCUCUAUUCCUCAAAGUAGGACCAGGAGACCAAUGAGAUGCAACAGAAAUUAUGAAUGGAUUCUAGUCUAGUCCAGAAAUUAAGUGGAGGAUAAUCUUAUGGUUUGGGAGAAUUAUGAAGGCAGGAGCAUAAAAGAACAGGCUUGGGCCAUGUUCCAUGGUAAAGAAAUAUCUAGUACAUGGUUUAUUAAACCCUGUCCUUCCUUUCUUUUUUCUAGGACACAUAGCUUCUUUUGUCAUGAAGAAGAAGAUAGAACUCAUUAUGGCUAAGCUGGUUGCUAGGCUCCGUGUUUGGUCUGAACUGGAUAGUAACAUAUUUGGUAUUGUGGCUGCUGGUGGUCUUUUGAGCACCAUAUUUUACUCUCCAAACCCUUCUGUGCUCUAUGCUAGGAUGCUAUCCCCAAGCAGAGCUUCUUUGGGUUCUUAAAUGUUCCCAGGGAUUUCUAAAUGCAGAAAUUUCUAGAUUUAAAUUUGUGGAGCAGCCCAAGAAACAAACUAAAUUUAUUUGAAGAUUCUUCUCUUUAAUCCUUUUCAUUUAUCAAGGUUUGCAUUCCACUUCACUGGAAAUUAGUAUUUGUUGUAAUAUUAAAAUGACAUUUUAAAGUACUAUCUGCACUUUAGAGAAUGGGAUUUCAAGUCAGAAAGGUAGAAUUUGACUUACUGUUCAGCUAAUCACUAGUUGCAUGACCUGGCCACGUGUCUUUUCUUCUCUGAGCUUUCACAUGUGUCCAUCAUACGACUGCAUGGUAAUUAUUCCAUGGAGUGUAGCACCCCGAGGGCCACAGUCUCUACCUUUUACUCAUCUGCAUAUCCUUCAUAUAGACUAGUAGAGGGUCCUAUCCCCAGAAGUCUCUUUCUAUGAUUCAUCCCUCUACAUCAGACACAAGUGCACCUAUGGUUAUCCCAUUUUUACCACUAGAUGGAGAGCACGUAUCCUAAAAAAAAUUAAUUCAUUAGGAAGUAAGAGAGCAAAUGUUUGACUAUAGCAUCUUAACCAAAACAACUUAUUUAUUCAUGAUGAUAUUAUUAAAACUGUCUCUCAAUACAUACAAUUAUAAGGUAACUCCCAGAACUAUUUAUUCUAAAAAUAAUAAAAGGGCAAAGGCAAGGGAGAAAUACUAACUUCAGGAUAGUGAUUAUCUCCAGGGAUGGCAAAGUGGAAUUGGGUGAGAGUAGAGAGCUCUAAAUGUAUUUGAUAGCUCAUUCCUUAUUUAAAGAUAUAGGAAGCAAAAAAUGUUAACUCUGGACGAAUUCUGAGUGGUGGUGGUGGUAUUUGCUGUUUCUGUGAAGUUUUUCAAAAUUACAAUUUUUUUUUAAGUCAGGGAGAAGAUUCAAAGGUAAACUAUAUGUCUACUCACUUUAUCUCUAUGUCUACUGAGUUUUUAAAUGCUCUCCUUGAGAGAUGUGCAAUCUACAACAUAAAACAAGUUAGCAGAAAACCUGGUGACUCUGUACUGGUCUCUCACAUGGCCAUUCUUAACCAAACCGUAAGUCUUCUAAAUGUCACAACUUAAAGUUCUUGGCUAGUUAGUUUUUAUCUCUGAAUUGGAUUCUUUUAAACUAAUCUGAAAGAAGAAAAAAAGCUGUAUAUGUCUGUGCUGUUUCUAUUGCUAUGUAAUGAACUACCAUGACAUUUAGUGCUAUAAAAGAGCAAUUUUGUCAUGUUCAUAGAUUUUGUGGGACAAGAUUUUACACACCUUCCUGUGGGGACACCUUGUCUCUGCUCCAUGACAUCUGGAGCCUGAAGUUGGAAGACUCAAGCUGGAGGGUCACUUGAUACUAGGAGGAAGUUGAUGGCGGGGGCAAUACUUACUAGCAGGUAUCUUCACUGAUGUGUCUGGUGGUUGAUACUGGCUGGGGCUGUCUACUGAGCCACAUACUGGUUACAAUCAAGUGAACACGAUUGGUCCCAGCUCUCCAUGGGGUGAUUGUCAAAGACUGUAUUGUCUUUGUCUAUAUUGUGAUGCUCUUAACUCUGCUAUUACAACAAAGUGGAUUGAUAAAGCUGGACCUCACUUCCUCUUUGUCCACUCAAAUGACCCAUAUGGAGGAGCAUUUCAAUGUAUCUUUUAAAUUAUCUAGGAACAUGUCUGGCCAAGUUCAAGAAGCUUAAGUAUAAACCAAUAUGGUUAUUUUUUUUUAUCAGCCUUGUACCUUGGGAAAGCUGUUUAGUUAUUUUUUUAUGACCAUUAAACAUGCAAGUAUUCAUAAAUAACACAUAUAAUAAGAUUCUCAUCACCAAUGGAAUAUUCUCCAGAGGGGAAUAUUGUCUAUUGCUGCAUAAUAAAUUACUGACAACUUAGUGGUUUAAAACAACAAAUGUAUUAUCUCACCGCUUUUGUGAGCCAGGAACCUGUGAACAGCUUAGCCCAGCAGCUCUGCCUCAAAGCUUCUCAUGGGUGGCAAUCAAGAUGUGGGUCAGACUGUCAUCUGAAGGCCUGAUCAGGGUGAAGUAUCUGCUUCUGUAUGACUCACUUAUAUUUCCUCACACGAGGCCCUCUUCACAGGACUGCUUGUGCAUCCUCAUGCCAUGACACUGGCUUCUUCCAUAGUGAGCAAUCAAAGAGAAUGAAGAGGAAGCCCCUGGUACUUUUACAUUCUAGGCUUUGACUGAUUUUCCAUCUGGCCUAACCAGAGCCUGAGGUUACUGAAUCCAGUGGAGCCAAUAGGUUCGACUUGAGCUUGCUUAAAGCCUGCUUAGAACAGGGAAAGACAAAUUGGCUCCUUUCUGAAAGGCCUAUGGAGCAGAAGCCUGCUUCUCCCUCCCCAGACCACAGCCUUGAAAGGGAAAACAUCCUGUUCUUCCAACUCCUGAGAAGCCAUUGCAGUGGAGCAAGAGGCUCGGUGGCCGUCUCCCACUCAAGAAGCUCACUGACUGGCAGCCUUAAGGGCCAGGACCUUAUCAGGCAGAGCUGAUUCCCAUCCCAGGUCCUGGGGUGCCAGGCAGGGUUAGAUAAGGCUGGACUUAUCAACUCAGCUCCAACAGCCCCAGAGAAAACAAAAGAGCAGCACAAAGUUUCCACACUUGGGAAGAAGUCAAGGUUAGCAAAGCACUAGACCCAGGUAUCUGGCAGAGGUGACAAAGGGACCUUACAACUGAAAGUAACAAGACCAGGUGGGGUCAGGGACACUCUUGGAGUGCUGGUAACCAGAGGCAGGAUAGGCUCAGGAGAGGCAGCCCUUGCCCAGAUGCCCUAUAGACUAUCCCACACAGCUGCCACCUAGAGGAGAAGGGAGACAAGAGAGCAAAACCAGAAUUAGCUGAAUUUUAAGAUGAAAAGACUGAGAAAACACAGAGGAUUUCUAGAAAGAAUCAGGGUUGCAUGGUAGCAAGUGGAUUAUGUAGCAUUAGGAAAAAAUAAUGUUAUAUAUUUCUUGCACACACUAGUUUGUGGCUUAGGAAAAUUCAAACAUGCUUAUAAACGUGCCAAUGCCUUGCCCUGUCUGCCAUGCCAUGCAGAGAGAAGGGGCUGUUUGGGGUGAGUGUGUCUCUCAGAAAUUUAAAGAGACGGCUAGAAUCGCAAGGCAGAAAGUGAUCGUACCUGAAAGUCUUCUAGAACACAGCUCAGAAAAUAUUAUUUUUUUAAAGGGCCAGAGAAUAAACAUUUUAGGCUUUUCCAACUGUAUAGUCUCUGCACCUCUUCAGCUCUGCCAUGGCAGCACAAAACAGCCAUGUACAAUACAUAAAUGAGUGGGCCGCGCUAGGUUCCAAUAAACUUUAAUUAUGGAAACUGAA